This 468-nucleotide ribosomal RNA is filed under the name uncultured bacterium. RNAcentral describes it as "partial 16S ribosomal RNA". It matches the Rfam family "Bacterial small subunit ribosomal RNA", at positions 28 to 507 of the family's 1533-position model. The record is from RNAcentral.
GACGAACGCUGGCGGCGUGCUUAACACAUGCAAGUCGAACGGAAAGGCCCUGCUUUUGUGGGGUGCUCGAGUGGCGAACGGGUGAGUAACACGUGAGUAACCUGCACUUGACUGUGGGAUAACUUCAGGAAACUGGGGCUAAUACCGGAUAGGAGCUCCUGCUGCAUGUUGGGGGUUGGAGAGUUUCGGCGGUGGGGGAUGGACUCGCGGCUUAUCAGCUGGUUGGUGGGGUAGUUGCUUACCAAGGCUUUGACGGGUAGCCGGCCUGAGAGGGUGACCGGCCACAUUGGGACUGCGAUACGGCCCAGACUCCUACGGGAGGCAGCAGUGGGGAAUAUUGCACAAUGGGCGGAAGCCUGAUGUAGCAACGCCGCGUGCGGGAUGACGGCCUUCGGGUUGUAAACCGCUUUCGCCUGUGACGAAGCGUGAGUGACGGUAAUGGGUAAAGAAGCACCGGCUAACUACGUG